This is a long non-coding RNA of Panthera uncia (snow leopard), 1113 nucleotides long. RefSeq lists it as uncharacterized. The transcript is spliced from 6 exons. The record is from RefSeq and is a predicted model, not a curated record. NCBI's taxonomy places the organism in Eukaryota, Metazoa, Chordata, Mammalia, Carnivora, Felidae.
CCAGAUUCUUCCUGUUGAUGUCCAAUUGACAAAAAUAUCUUAGGGAAGAAGGUGAAGAAACAAGCUUCUUAGAGACUAUGUAACUUGGCCAAAUGUCAAGGAUAUUUGAGAUUCAAGCCCAAAAUCUUCAGACUAUGGAGCCCAUGCUAAUUCCAGGACACCAUGAAAUCACACACAUGUGAAGGCAAUUCUUGAACUACGGGGAUGCAGUUCUCAGUCUUCUUAUUCUGUAACACACAUCACCAAUCAACAUUCGCAUGAGAAACCCAAGCUUAUGCCCAAUUCCUGGAAUACUAUCUUUACCUGGAUCAUAUUCUCUGCCACGGAAGAAAGCAUGUGAAUGGGUGAAAACAAGAAGUGCUUCUCUUCACAGAAGUGGGCUUCAAAAGCCAUUUUCAAAUGAAAGAUUGCUCUUGCCUCCCCUCCUGUGCUCACCACCGCAUUUGCAACAGGUUUAUGCUACCAUAGAGAUGCAUCGAAAGGCAAAUACACUGUAACAUGGGAUACAAGUACAUCUGACAAAGAGGCACAUUUUAUUACUAAACUUGGAAAUGAAUUAAUCUAAUUACUGCUGAUUGCUUGACCAACACGAAAACCUAGGAAGCCUCUGCUUAGAUUAGAAAUUGCUGUCCUUACUAUGAUUUUUCAUGUGGCCUGGAAAAUGAAGAAAGAACACAGAAAAGAAUGUGAGACUGCAGCACAGCUUACUAAGGUAUGCUGUGGCUGCAAUUGUCAUUGUAAGUGAUACAACCACCAGUUGGAGAGUGCUUUGGAACUUUAAAGGUAAAGGAAACCUUUUCUUCAGUGGAACAUUCUCUUUUAACCUGCUUUUCUGUUGAACCUGAUAAGGCUUUGGAUGUGCUUGUUUGAGAGUUCCUUUCAAGUUGAACAAUGCCAAACCGAAGAAACAAACUUGUUCAUAAAGUGAGGUAUCCUGCUGGAAAUCAUCAUGUGUUUUUAAAGUCACCAUGUAAUAUUCAUGUAUUUAGUUACCGUCAACCAUAAACUCCUUUAUCAGCAGACAAUUGGCAGUAUAAACCAAAGGUGUACAAAAAAUUAAUGCUCUCCAGUAAUUUAAUGUUUGCUUAACAUUGAGUUUGGUGGUGAUGUUAG